UUUUUGAAAAAAUUUUACCACCAAAUAUGGUUGUCCCCCCCCCUGUCGAUGACACUUGGGACCAUAGAUAUAGGAGAACUAGCAAGUCCUGAGAUCUUCUUCAUGUCCUUCCUUCGUUUGUAGCAGAAUGACUAAAAGAGAGACGGAGAAAAGCAGAAACUGCUCUGUGUAAUCAUGAGCUGGCCGAUCAUAUAGGUUGUCUCGAUGCGCGACGAAUAAAUAUGGAGUGGGAUGCGAGUGCUCUACUACCCUUUAAUUUCGCCUUUGUCUUGGCGUGUGAUACACUAUAGUGGACUGUGAAGUAUGUUUAGUUCUAACUGCACGUGGGGUGUAUACGCGAUGGCAUAUAGUAGCAAAUAACGUCUGAAAUAACAGUGUAUAUAGUACCAGGAAUUGUCUUCAUCUGGUGAAAUAUGCCGUAAACCUUUUGGUUUG
This 435-nucleotide long non-coding RNA is filed under the name Paramuricea clavata. The record is from RNAcentral. Lineage: Eukaryota; Metazoa; Cnidaria; Anthozoa; Malacalcyonacea; Plexauridae.